AUGAAGCUGAAGGAACCAUUGUUCCACAGCGGGCCGAUCCCCCCGAACGUCUUCAAGGUUUCCGUGGCCAGUGUCAAACCGGGCCACGAGAAUUUGCCUCCUCUGGUACUAGUGGGGGAUGACGACGAGACCCCGCGGCGGCUUGGUGAUUGUUGCAAUGGAUGGGUCCUGUUGUGGCCAAAGAGUUUGCUUCGUCUCGAGACGGCCGGGAGCACACCCAUGAGUGUGCAGUUAGGUAUGAACAUCAACACCUCACCUACCCAAUUAGCGUCGGCUGUCGUGCUGGGUGAUAGAGGAGGGGGUGAGGAAAAGGUUCCAUUAGUGCCUGGUGACGUCGCCAUAGAUGAGGAUGAGGAUGACGAUGGCACUCAACAGUAUGUCUAUACUGGCGCCUACUUAGGGUUUGAGCGUCAUGAGUCGGUGCCUGAAUUGCCAUCUCCGGAGGCUGAACGUAUUAUGGAAGAUCUUUCGGUAGUAAAGAAGUCUAGGAAGAGAACGAGGAAAGGCAAAAAAGAUGAUUCUAUGAUCCAGCCGCCUCAGCAGCCUCGGGUUCAAGACCGUAUAGAUAUCCCUAGUGCGGAUAAAUGGAAUAUCCCCGGUCAAUCAAUCCUACCUACAGCAGCGCUAUGGGCCAGAUUCGACGAUCUAAGGAGACUUCAUAACGAUGUGUUGCGGAUAGAGAAAGGCCUCAUCGCCUCGAAAGAUCCAGGAUACCCACUCUACAUGGUUAACGUUCAGCGGCAAUUGUCGUACGUCGACUUCUUCCCCGCGGAUAAGUUCUUCCUUCGUUUCGAUUACAUAUUCGACAUGUUUCACGUAAAGAAGCUGGAUUUUACGUUUGUCCGCCUUUAUGCCUUGCACAUGAACUACAUCAUCGGGGUUGAGCAGAUACCCCAUAUCUGUGUCGCUAACCCAUACUUCCUGCACGAGGGCUUCUUGGGAGUCUGCGCAAAGCACCGUGAAUACGCGAGGGAAUACAUCGCCAAUUUCAAUCUCGCUAAUAAGGACAAGGAGGCGACUCUCGUGCCUUAUCAUCCCCUCGGCGAGCGUGCCGUCCUCAUCACCCUCUACCCCCGAUACUCCCAUGCUCUUUACUUGGACUCGUCGAAGAACAUUAACAAAAAGGAUUACACCCACAUCAAAGAUGUUCUCGACAGCGCUAUCUUUCACUACGGCGCACGGGGUGGAGAGGUCAAGGACAAGAAGAGAAGGGAGGGCAGGCCCGCCUUCGGCCAUAAGACCGACUUCUGUUGCAUCCAGCAACCGAGUGAUUCUCUUAAUGAUGGAUUCUAUGUCCUACACCACAUGCUGGAGUACAGACGGGAUCACCAGAACCUUCGCAUGUCAGCUAAAUCUGGCGAUGCCCAUAUUCUGCAAUGGGCAAAGAACAUAGGAGAUAUCGAGGAUCAUCGACUUCGAGCUGAGUUCUAUCACAUCCAGCGCGAACUUGCCCAAAUCAUCAUGAAGGAGGUCGUCGGAAAAACAGGGAUGUUCUACGAAGAAGGACAAAUGUCGCGGGAAGAUGUCCGAACACGGGUAGCCUCUCAGCGUCUCGACCUGAAGCCUUUUCACUAG
RNAcentral lists this ribosomal RNA (1575 nucleotides) under Triticum aestivum (bread wheat). Its description in RNAcentral is "partial small subunit ribosomal RNA". The record is from RNAcentral. Lineage: Eukaryota; Viridiplantae; Streptophyta; Magnoliopsida; Poales; Poaceae.